GGAGUCAAAUAGUGCGUGAAAUUGUUGAAAGGGAAACGAUUGAAGUCAGUCAUGUUUGCAGGGAAUCAACAUGGUGGUUUUUCUUUCUUGUGCACUUCCUUGCUUAUUAGAUUAGCAUCAAUUCUGAUUGUCAUUAAAGAACCGGGGGAAUGUGGCUUCUUCGGGAGUGUUAUAGACCUUGGUAGAUGUGGCGAUCGGGAUUGAGGAUUGCAGCGAAUGCUUCUUGGCUAGUCAUCUGGCUUCUGACGGUCACCUCGCUUUCGAUAGCUUGCUAAUGUUGGUGAGAUUUGAUUGUCUAGAUGUUAGAGUGAUCAUAAAUUUGCUAAGGAUGCUGAUGUAAUGGCUUUAAACGA
This 353-nucleotide unclassified non-coding RNA is filed under the name uncultured Glomeromycotina. RNAcentral describes it as "sequence contains 28S rRNA gene". Lineage: Eukaryota; Fungi; Glomeromycota. The record is from RNAcentral.